This 704-nucleotide long non-coding RNA is filed under the name Capsicum annuum. RNAcentral describes it as "long non-coding RNA (CANN_LNC007680)". Lineage: Eukaryota; Viridiplantae; Streptophyta; Magnoliopsida; Solanales; Solanaceae. The record is from RNAcentral.
UUUCAAGCCUUUUGUAAAUAGGUGAAGGGGUGGAGAAAUUAGAGAUUUUUCAUCACACUUACCUAUUCACUAGGUUCUAUAUUUUCUUUGCUCUAUUUUCCUUUGUUCCCACACCGCUCUCGUUGUUUUCUAUCAUUGGUCGGUUUCGGAGUCCAAGUUAGUGGUGGAAUUGCUCGUCGACUUGGCUUCCUGGUUCGCUGCCCCCAAAAGGUAACCUCUUUUCAAUUUGAAAUGCAGUAUUAUUUUAUGUCGUUGCUGUUGUAACUUCCCUGCCUCCCUUUUGUCUUGUCCCGUUUCAUUUUGUCCCUUUUUCUAUUAGUCUAGUCGCCUGGUGGCUGUUUUCUUUUCAUAUUGUUGCGUAGUGGCCAUAAUUUAGUUAUUUGCUUAGAUGACUCUAUUGGUUUCUAUUUCUAAUAAAAUCUCGUCUUGCUUUUGGUCAUACUUUUGGAGUAUAGAGCGACGAGGGAGUUUUCUUGUGGAAAAAAAAGGGACAAGGGGUUGAAUAUCCCAUGAUGUUCAGUACGUUGUUCUUUUCUCACUCAUAAAUUACUCCUCAGAUUUUCGCAACCCCUAUUUCCUUUGAAUACACCAAUCUCGUGAAAUAGAACUCGCUUGCUAAUAAGUUUCAGCUAUGUUUGAACUGAAUAUGUUGGCAUGAUCACUUUGUUUCUAUAGCUCGAUGAAAUAUAAGUAUAGAGGGUGUU